UACGUAGGGUGCAAGCGUUAAUCGGAAUUACUGGGCGUAAAGCGUGCGCAGGCGGUGAUGUAAGACAGGUGUGAAAUCCCCGGGCUUAACCUGGGAACUGCAUUUGUGACUGCAUCGCUGGAGUGCGGCAGAGGGGGAUGGAAUUCCGCGUGUAGCAGUGAAAUGCGUAGAUAUGCGGAGGAACACCGAUGGCGAAGGCAAUCCCCUGGGCCUGCACUGACGCUCAUGUGCGAAAGCCAGGGGAGCGAACGGG
RNAcentral lists this ribosomal RNA (253 nucleotides) under uncultured bacterium. Its description in RNAcentral is "partial 16S ribosomal RNA". It matches the Rfam family "Bacterial small subunit ribosomal RNA", at positions 524 to 776 of the family's 1533-position model. The record is from RNAcentral.